AUGACCUCGAUCUCGUCCGCUGCGUCGGGGAUCUUGGGCAUGUUGUUUUCCCCACGGACAGCGACCUCAAAGUCUGCGACAUCAGCGGUUGGGGGGGCGAACCCCUCCUCGCCAUUCUCCAUCGAUAGCCCUCCACUCUUCUCUGUGCGGUGCAGACCAACAGCCGUCCGGCGGGGAGAAGGCAUGGUGUCACUGACAGGAGCGCACCACGUAGCACCAUUGCAUUCCGCCACCGGCCGCCGCGAGGGCGCCUCUGCUGGUCGCUCUUGCGACCACUUCCAGGAGGCCAUACACAUGCACUCCUUUUGUCCAGAUGGUGUCCAUGGGAUCCAGGUGGCUGUACACGUGCACGUUCGACGUGCGGAUGGUGUCCACUUUAUGUUCAGGGGUCCAAAAUAA
Molecule: ribosomal RNA, 399 nt
Filed under: Triticum aestivum (bread wheat)
Lineage: Eukaryota; Viridiplantae; Streptophyta; Magnoliopsida; Poales; Poaceae
Description: partial small subunit ribosomal RNA
Source: RNAcentral